This 511-nucleotide ribosomal RNA is filed under the name uncultured Alcaligenaceae bacterium. RNAcentral's name for it is "partial 16S ribosomal RNA". The record is from RNAcentral. Lineage: Bacteria; Pseudomonadati; Pseudomonadota; Betaproteobacteria; Burkholderiales; Alcaligenaceae.
CACGUAGUUAGUCGGUGCUUAUUCUACAGGUACCGUCAUCUACAGAGGUUAUUAGCCUCUAUCAUUUCUUCCCUGUCAAAAGUGCUUUACAACCCGAAGGCCUUCAUCACACACGCGGGAUGGCUGGAUCAGGGUUUCCCCCAUUGUCCAAAAUUCCCCACUGCUGCCUCCCGUAGGAGUCUGGGCCGUGUCUCAGUCCCAGUGUGGCUGGUCGUCCUCUCAAACCAGCUACGGAUCGUCGCCUUGGUAGGCCUUUACCCCACCAACUAGCUAAUCCGAUAUCGGCCGCUCCAAUAGUGAGAGGUCUUGCGAUCCCCCCCUUUCCCCGUAGGGCGUAUGCGGUAUUAGCCACUCUUUCGAGUAGUUAUCCCCCGCUACUGGGCACGUUUCCGAUACAUUACUCACCCGUCCGCCACUCGCCACCAACGAGAGCAAGCUCUCUCGUGCUGCCGUUCGACUUGCAUGUGUAAAGCAUCCCGCUAGCGUUCAAUCUGAGCCAGGAUCAAACUCU